Molecule: ribosomal RNA, 826 nt
Filed under: uncultured organism
Description: bacterial SSU rRNA
Rfam family: Bacterial small subunit ribosomal RNA
Source: RNAcentral
GUCGAACGGCAGCAUGGGUGCUUGCACCUGAUGGCGAGUGGCGAACGGGUGAGUAACAUAUCGGAACAUGUCCGGAAGUGGGGGAUAACGUACCGAAAGGUACGCUAAUACCGCAUAUGCCCUGAGGGGGAAAGGGGGGGAUCGAAAGACCUCUCGCUUUCGGAGUGGCCGAUAUCGGAUUAGCUAGAUGGUGAGGUAAAGGCUCACCAUGGCGACGAUCCGUAGCUGGUCUGAGAGGACGACCAGCCACACUGGAACUGAGACACGGUCCAGACUCCUACGGGAGGCAGCAGUGGGGAAUUUUGGACAAUGGGGGCAACCCUGAUCCAGCCAUACCGCGUGAGUGAAGAAGGCCUUCGGGUUGUAAAGCUCUUUCAGCCGGAAAGAAAACGUGCGGGUUAAUAACCCGUAUGGAUGACGGUACCGGAAGAAGAAGCACCGGCUAACUACGUGCCAGCAGCCGCGGUAAUACGUAGGGUGCGAGCGUUAAUCGGAAUUACUGGGCGUAAAGCGUGCGCAGGCGGCUUUUUAAGCCAGAUGUGAAAUCCCCGGGCUCAACCUGGGAACUGCAUUUGGAACUGGAAGGCUAGAGUGUAGCAGAGGGGGGUAGAAUUCCACGUGUAGCAGUGAAAUGCGUAGAUAUGUGGAGGAAUACCGAUGGCGAAGGCAGCCCCCUGGGCUAACACUGACGCUCAUGCACGAAAGCGUGGGGAGCAAACAGGAUUAGAUACCCUGGUAGUCCACGCCCUAAACGAUGUCAACUAGGUGUUGGGGAAGGAGACUUCUUUAGUACCGUAGCUAACGCGUGAAGUUGACCGCCUGGGGA